This 496-nucleotide ribosomal RNA is filed under the name uncultured bacterium. RNAcentral describes it as "partial 16S ribosomal RNA". It matches the Rfam family "Bacterial small subunit ribosomal RNA", at positions 29 to 507 of the family's 1533-position model. The record is from RNAcentral.
ACGCACGCUGGCGGCGUGCCUAAUACAUGCAAGUUGAGCGCUGAAGGUUGGUACUUGUACCAACUGGAUGAGCAGCGAACGGGUGAGUAACGCGUGGGGAAUCUGCCUUUGAGCGGGGGACAACAUUUGGAAACGAAUGCUAAUACCGCAUAAAAACUUUAAACACAAGUUUUAAGUUUGAAAGAUGCAAUUGCAUCACUCAAAGAUGAUCCCGCGUUGUAUUAGCUAGUUGGUGAGGUAAAGGCUCACCAAGGCGAUGAUACAUAGCCGACCUGAGAGGGUGAUCGGCCACAUUGGGACUGAGACACGGCCCAAACUCCUACGGGAGGCAGCAGUAGGGAAUCUUCGGCAAUGGACGAAAGUCUGACCGAGCAACGCCGCGUGAGUGAAGAAGGCUUUCGGAUCGUAAAACUCUGUUGGUAGAGAAGAACGUUGGUGAGAGUGGAAAGCUCAUCAAGUGACGGUAACUACCCAGAAAGGGACGGCUAACUACGUG